Molecule: ribosomal RNA, 253 nt
Filed under: uncultured bacterium
Lineage: Bacteria
Description: partial 16S ribosomal RNA
Rfam family: Bacterial small subunit ribosomal RNA
Source: RNAcentral
UACGGGGGGGGCAAGCGUUGUUCGGAAUUACUGGGCGUAAAGGGCUCGUAGGUGGCCAACUAAGUCAGACGUGAAAUCCCUCGGCUUAACCGGGGAACUGCGUCUGAUACUGGAUGGCUUGAGUUCGGGAGAGGGAUGCGGAAUUCCAGGUGUAGCGGUGAAAUGCGUAGAUAUCUGGAGGAACACCGGUGGCGAAGGCGGCAUCCUGGACCAAUACUGACGAUCAGGUGCGAAAGCGUGGGGAGCAAACAGG